Molecule: long non-coding RNA, 358 nt
Filed under: Medicago truncatula (barrel medic)
Lineage: Eukaryota; Viridiplantae; Streptophyta; Magnoliopsida; Fabales; Fabaceae
Description: lncRNA gene11514
Source: RNAcentral
CUUCUAAGUUCUUCUUAUAAUAUAAUUUUUAUAUGUUUCUCCUCCGCUUGUCCCAACUGACACUUUUCUUGCAUUGCAAGCAUUCACAUAUAUGAAGAAUGAAAAGUAUAGAGAUUGAUGAUGAAUUUAGAGAUUCGAACAAAAUUCAUCCCAUUCAACUUUGAACGAUCCCAAAACGUUGUCGAAACAACAAUUAUGUAGGUUUUCCUGGUAUUAUUAACUAUUUUGAUUUUAUAAUAUAUGUUCUUUUCUGAACAAAAAAUGCUUGGAGCUCAUAAUUGACAAAAAAUGUUAGCUGCCACACCUCUUUGCAAUUUCAUGUUUGUUCGAAGGGAAAAAUGUCAGUAGCAUGGGUCCC